UACGAAGGGGGCUAGCGUUGCUCGGAUUUACUGGGCGUAAAGGGCGCGUAGGCGGUCAGUUAAGUUGGGGGUGAAAGCCCGGGGCUCAACCUCGGAAUUGCCUUCAAUACUGGCUGUCUUGAGUGUGAGAGAGGUGUGUGGAACUCCGAGUGUAGAGGUGAAAUUCGUAGAUAUUCGGAAGAACACCAGUGGCGAAGGCGACACACUGGCUCACUACUGACGCUGAGGAGCGAAAGCGUGGGGAGCAAACAGG
Molecule: ribosomal RNA, 253 nt
Filed under: uncultured bacterium
Lineage: Bacteria
Description: partial 16S ribosomal RNA
Rfam family: Bacterial small subunit ribosomal RNA
Source: RNAcentral